RNAcentral lists this ribosomal RNA (497 nucleotides) under uncultured bacterium. Its description in RNAcentral is "partial 16S ribosomal RNA". It matches the Rfam family "Bacterial small subunit ribosomal RNA", at positions 28 to 507 of the family's 1533-position model. The record is from RNAcentral.
GAUGAACGCUGGCGGCGUGCCUAAUACAUGCAAGUCGAGCGAACGGACGAGAAGCUUUCUUCUCUGAUGUUAGCGGCGGACGGGUGAGUAACACGUGGAUAACCUACCUAUAAGACUUGGAUAACUUCGUGAAACCGGAGCUACUACCGGAUAAUAUUUUGAACCGCAUGGUUCAAAAGUUAAAGACGGUCUUGCUGUCACUUAUAGAUGGUUCCGCGCUGCAUUAGCUAGUUGGUAAGGUAACGGCUUACCAAGGCAACGAUGCAUAGCCGACCUGAGAGGGUGAUCGGCCACACUGGAACUGAGACACGGUCCAGACUCCUACGGGAGGCAGCAGUAGGGAAUAUUCCGCAAUGGGCGAAAGCCUGACGGAGCAACGCCGCGUGAGUGAUGAAGGUCUUCGGAUCGUAAAACUCUGUUAUUAGGGAAGAACAUAUGUGUAAGUAACUGUGCACAUCUUGACGGUACCUAAUCAGAAAGCCACGGCUAACUACGUG